This 632-nucleotide ribosomal RNA is filed under the name uncultured bacterium. RNAcentral describes it as "bacterial SSU rRNA". The stretch from base 1 to 538 matches the Rfam family "Bacterial small subunit ribosomal RNA", at positions 338 to 873 of the family's 1533-position model. The record is from RNAcentral.
CCUACGGGAGGCAGCAGUUUGGAAUUUUGGACAAUGGGCGAAAGCCUGAUCCAGCGACGCCGCGUGGACGAUGAAGGCCUUCGGGUCGUAAAGUCCUUUUAGCAGGGAAGAAUUUUGACGGUACCUGCAGAAUAAGAGGUUGCUAACUCUGUGCCAGCAGCAGCGGUAAUACAGAGACCUCGAGCGUUAUCCGGAAUCAUUGGGCGUAAAGCGUACCGAUCGGUGGUUUACAAGUCAGAGGUGAAAUUCCAAGGCUCAACCUUGGGACUGUCCUUUGAAACUGUAAGACUAGAGGGACAAAGAGGAAGCUAGAACUAACGGUGUAGGGGUAAUAUCCGUUGAUAUCGUUAGGAAUACCGAUAGCGAAGGCAGGCUUCUGGGUGUCACCUGACACUGCUAGGACGAAAGCGUGGGGAGCAAAAAGGAUUAGAUACCCUUGUAGUCCACGCUGUAAACGAUGCAUAUUAGGUGUGUGGGUAGGUAGUACGUACCCUCCUUCUAGUGCACUAGCGUAACGUACGUUAAAGUAAUAGCCGCCGUCGGGUAGGUACGGCCGGCGAACGGACGUAAACUAACGAAAGAAAGUUAGUACGGCGNGAGACGUGCCGACGGACGACGACGAGGGAGGUAGG